Molecule: long non-coding RNA, 713 nt
Filed under: Felis catus (domestic cat)
Lineage: Eukaryota; Metazoa; Chordata; Mammalia; Carnivora; Felidae
Description: lncRNA (ENSFCAG00000048630.1)
Source: RNAcentral
GCCAGUAACUUGCUAGGUAAUCUGGGAUGGGUUGUUUUGCUUCUCCUGGCCUUCGUUUUCUCAUCUGUAGAAUGGGGGACGUUCAUAACCCCUGACCAGCAGGGCCCAUGGGGCUGGUAUAAAACCUGAUGGGAGGGGUGGUUGGAGGUGAGACCUCUGCACACGCAAGCACUCGGCACAGGUGAGGAUUGUGCAGAGAGAAAUCAUCUCCAGGUGUGACUCUGGACAAAUCUGAGCCCCUUCGGAGGCUGUGGGCGGGCCCUCAGGCAGGUGUACCCGUGACCUUAGGACGCCUGCUUCACCAACUUCACAGACCACUGGGUCCUGGGGCUGCGCCAUGGGACGAGGGACAUGGGGCCGAUAGGGCAGGAAGCUUAUUCCCUUCUGUUGGCAAUUCAAAACAGUUUUUAACAUAUCGAAGCAACCGUGUAUACGUCAUGAAGCAGAAGGAGGACGUGGUGUACAGACGGAAGCUAAAACCUGAGGCUGAAGACCCUUCAAGACAAUGGACAUCUGGCCUGGGUUCUCCAAAGGAUCUAGGACCAUGAGGAACAAAGUAGGGGAGACAUCGCAGCCCGAUGCCAUACGCCAUGUUUGACCGGAUCCUGGACUGGGAAAAAAUAGAAGCCACAAAGAACGUUUGGGAGGCCACCAGGGAAACGUGAUGUUAGGUGUUAGGUGUUCGUGUUGUUCGUGUUAGGUGAUGUUGCCCA